GGAGUUUGAGCCUGGAUCUCAACCAACGCUGGCGGCAUGCUUAACACAUGCAAGUCCAACGCUUCAUCGGGGCUUGCUCCGGUGGGGAGUGGCGCACGGGUGAGUAGCGCGUGGGAACCUGCCCAGUAGUGGGGGAUAACCGAGGGAAACUUCGGCUAAUACCGCAUGCGCCCGGGGGAGUGAUCUCUCGGGGAAAGAUUUAUCGCUAUUGGAGGGGCCCGCGUCGGAUUAGCUUGUUGGUGGGGUAACGGCCUACCAAGGCAGUGAUCCGUAGCUGGUCUGAGAGGAUGAUCAGCCACACUGGGACUGAGACACGGCCCAGACUCCUACGGGAGGCAGCAGUGGGGAAUAUUGGACAAUGGGCGCAAGCCUGAUCCAGCAAUGCCGCGUGAGUGAGGAAGGCCUUAGGGUUGUAAAGCUCUUUCGCACGCGACGAUGAUGACUGUAGCGUGAGAAGAAGCCCCGGCUAACUUCGUGCCAGCAGCCGCGGUAAUACUAAGGGGGCGAGCGUUGAUCGGAUUUACUGGGCGUAAAGGGCGCGCAGGCGGCUAUUUUUGUCAUGCGUGAAAGCCCCGUGCUUAACCUGGGAACAGCGCUUGAGACUGGAUGGCUAGACAUCGUGCGAGGAGAGUGGAAUUCCCAGUGUAGAGGUGAAAUUCAUAGAUCUAGGGAAGAACACCGGUGGCUAACGCGGCUCUCUGGACGGAUACUGAGGCUGAGGAGCGAAAGCGUGUCGAGCACUUUGAUUAGAUACCCUGGUAGUCCACGCUGAAAACGAUGUGUGCUAGACGUUUGCGAGCCUAGCUCUUCGGUGUCACAGCUACGCUGUAAGUACACUUCCUGGGGAGUACGCCGCGUGUCAAACUCAAA
RNAcentral lists this ribosomal RNA (870 nucleotides) under uncultured soil bacterium. RNAcentral describes it as "bacterial SSU rRNA". It matches the Rfam family "Bacterial small subunit ribosomal RNA", at positions 9 to 905 of the family's 1533-position model. The record is from RNAcentral.